AAACUAGGGGUGGAGGCGCUGAAGCCGGUGCAGUUUGUCGAUGAUCUUAGACGCAUGUAAGAUGUUUUAGAAGAGAGCUUUAUGUAGUGCAAUAUAUUGUACUCGAUAUAUAACAAUGGGUAUUAUAAAUGACAAACCGAAUCAAACCGUUAAUGCGGAAUCGAGGGAGGUGCAAAAAACUGACAAACCAUUGAAACCUUGCUGCGCUUGUCCUGAAACGAAGAAGGCAAGGGACGAUUGCAUUAUCCUACUUGGUGAAGAAAACUGUAAAGAUUUGAUAGAAGCGCAUAAAACUUGUAUGCGGUCAUUAGGAUUUAACAUAUAAAUGUAAAUUAGCUAUAUAUUAUUAAUUAUUAUAUAACAUGCUCAGGUUGCAUUUUGAACGAAAAAUGAA
Molecule: unclassified non-coding RNA, 394 nt
Filed under: Bombus terrestris (buff-tailed bumblebee)
Lineage: Eukaryota; Metazoa; Arthropoda; Insecta; Hymenoptera; Apidae
Description: misc RNA ENSBTSG00005023472.1
Source: RNAcentral